RNAcentral lists this transfer RNA (64 nucleotides) under Brachionus angularis. Its description in RNAcentral is "tRNA-Gln". Lineage: Eukaryota; Metazoa; Rotifera; Eurotatoria; Ploima; Brachionidae. The record is from RNAcentral.
UAUGUAAUAGUAUAAGUGUAUUUGUGAUUUUGGAUCACAAGGUGUAAUUUAGUUGCUUACAUAA